UUACGGGUGAGCAGCGGCCUUUUCUCUCUCUUGCUCUCUCACCACUCAGCUCACAGUUCUGUCUAACCAUUGACAGGACAGCACCCAUGACUCAACUAACCGGGCUAGUGCAUGGAUUUGGACUGUGCUAUUUGUUAACACUGCCUCUAAUAUUUUCACAUGGCGAGGCGCUGCAGUGCUACGGCUGUAACAUCCUCCAGGGCCAGAAGUACGUGGACGUGGGCUGCUCCAGCCCAGAGGUCAUCACUUGCUCCCACUCCCACAAAGGCUUCAAGCACCGCUUCUGCAUUAGGACUGAGAGCAGUGCCCUGGGCAUCGUGCUGACCAGUGGUUGUGCCACGUCUCGACACUGCCAACAACAGGAGCUACCUGGGGUGCUGAUCCAUUGCUGUGGCUCAGACCUCUGCAACAACACCCCCGACUGGAGCAGAACGACAUUACACUGGCUGUGCUCGGUUGCUACACUGCUGCUCAUACUCUGGCUGCAAUUGUGAGAGAGAGUCGCUGAGCAGAAUCACACUGACUAGGGCCCACUUCUGCCCUACUGGUCAAUCCUGUGGCUGUGUCCUGGAUCAGUGGUUUCCAACCAGGGGAACUAGGCGCCUGGGGGUACUUGGCUAUCCACAGGGUGUACUUGAGAAGACUCAUUAGACAGUAGGUCUACUGGUAAAAUGUACUUCAGAGGUACUCCAGAGCAGAGCAACAUUUGGUUGGUGGUACGGUAACCAAAAAGGGUUGGAAACCAUUGUCCUAGAGAAAAGCUAAGGCUAAAAUGAGAUUAUGAAGGUAGCUAGCCAAAUAAGGGUUUUUGUGGUGAAUAGGUGACAGUAAUGAUGUGGAUCAUAUGCU
This is a long non-coding RNA of Oncorhynchus tshawytscha (Chinook salmon), 849 nucleotides long. The record is from Ensembl. NCBI's taxonomy places the organism in Eukaryota, Metazoa, Chordata, Actinopteri, Salmoniformes, Salmonidae.